This is a long non-coding RNA of Homo sapiens (human), 237 nucleotides long. RefSeq lists it as uncharacterized. The record is from RefSeq and is a predicted model, not a curated record. The transcript is spliced from 3 exons. NCBI's taxonomy places the organism in Eukaryota, Metazoa, Chordata, Mammalia, Primates, Hominidae.
UGAGCAAUCACAUGCAAAGAAUUUGAUUAACAUCUACUAGAAACUCAGCCCUCUGUGAAUGCCAGAGGAAGGAGCUGGAAGGAGGAGAAGGAAAAGAGAAAAAAAGAAGAAGGAGAUGAGGGUUUCUAGAUGAAAUGGUGUGACUCUUUGAUAACUUGUUUGUGUCAUCACCUGUAAACAAGAUACUAAGGGAUUAUUCAAGAUGUCAGAACCAGCCACAUCCAAGGCAGGUUUAAG